RNAcentral lists this ribosomal RNA (836 nucleotides) under Actinoplanes sp. IM-2563. Its description in RNAcentral is "bacterial SSU rRNA". It matches the Rfam family "Bacterial small subunit ribosomal RNA", at positions 38 to 889 of the family's 1533-position model. The record is from RNAcentral. Lineage: Bacteria; Bacillati; Actinomycetota; Actinomycetes; Micromonosporales; Micromonosporaceae.
GGCGGCGUGCUUAACACAUGCAAGUCGAGCGGAAAGGCCCUUCGGGGUACUCGAGCGGCGAACGGGUGAGUAACACGUGAGUAACCUGCCCUGGACUUUGGGAUAACCCUCGGAAACGGGGGCUAAUACCGAAUACGACACGAGGUCGCAUGGUCUUCGUGUGGAAAGUUUUUCGGUUUGGGAUGGACUCGCGGCCUAUCAGCUUGUUGGUGGGGUAAUGGCCUACCAAGGCGACGACGGGUAGCCGGCCUGAGAGGGCGACCGGCCACACUGGGACUGAGACACGGCCCAGACUCCUACGGGAGGCAGCAGUGGGGAAUAUUGCACAAUGGGCGGAAGCCUGAUGCAGCGACGCCGCGUGAGGGAUGACGGCCUUCGGGUUGUAAACCUCUUUCAGCAGGGACGAAGCGCAAGUGACGGUACCUGCAGAAGAAGCGCCGGCCAACUACGUGCCAGCAGCCGCGGUAAGACGUAGGGCGCGAGCGUUGUCCGGAUUUAUUGGGCGUAAAGAGCUCGUAGGCGGCUUGUCGCGUCGAAUGUGAAAACUUGGGGCUCAACCCCAAGCUUGCAUUCGAUACGGGCAGGCUAGAGUUCGGUAGGGGAGACUGGAAUUCCUGGUGUAGCGGUGAAAUGCGCAGAUAUCAGGAGGAACACCGGUGGCGAAGGCAGGUCUCUGGGCCGAUACUGACGCUGAGGAGCGAAAGCGUGGGGAGCGAACAGGAUUAGAUACCCUGGUAGUCCACGCUGUAAACGUUGGGCGCUAGGUGUGGGGACCCUCUCCGGGUUUCUGCGCCGCAGCUAACGCAUUAAGCGCCCCGCCUGGGGAGUACGGCCGC